AAAAGUUAGUUUAGUAAUCAAAAAGGGAAAGCACAACAUACACGAUAAAACAGCAAAACGACUUUGGAAGGUAUAUAUGUAUAUCCCACAGGCUUCAUAGGAUACCAUCCAUGUUUAUCUCUUCUUCUCAAACCUUAAGAACUGUAAAUUACAACUGAAUAAUUACUAAAAAUACAGGUAUAGAGUAUCCCUAUAAGGCUCUUAUAUUGACUAAUUGCCUGUUCUGUUUCCACUCUCAAUAACUGGCUCAAGAAUGGAGCAUAAACCAACUUAUUUAAGUGACAAACAAGCACUUUUGAGUACAAAUGAAGGGCAGUAUUUAGGUUUUACAAACACUUGUUCAGGACAACGCCAGCAUACAACAUCGAAUAAUUUCAGUUGACAUGUAAUGUAAGGGCGGUUGUGCAGGGGUCGAGGCAUAUGCAAAUAUUUACAGGCCUUACCGUGCACCUAGCUUUUUCUUUUUUCAAGGCCAAAAAAUUCAACUUGUGUAGUAAAUCUGACCGGUUUGAAGUCAGACAUUUGAUAAAGCUUUUAAGCUUUUCUGUUUUUUUUUUUUGGGGGGGGGGUGUUGUUCCUGGGCAUCAAAGAGGGUGCUUCGGGUUUUUCCUGCAGAAAAUUAGACAAGUCAAUUUCUAAUUGAAGAAUUCAGGUAGAGGAAGUGCAACGGAAGGGAUCAGUUUGAAACCAGAAUGAAGAUACCAGAAAAUAUAAUUGUAACAGUCUCAUGAGGUUCGAUUUCGUGAAUGCUCUUUCCUAAUUGCAUGCUUCCUCUCACGCUUGUGCCCAACCAAUUUUACCAAUCCAGAUGACGGAGCUUUUUCCCUUCCAAAUUUAAGGUCUUCACCACCAAUCAUGUACUUAUUUCCAGCUUCAGGCACAGUAAAAUCAGCAGGGUUUCUAUUAAUGUGGCAGAUACCAGUCUCUGAACCACUUUUUGGAUGGAAGAGAGUGCCGCUCAUAGAAUGAGCCUUAUGCUUCUGUUUUGUUGCACUCUCCUUUGGAUGAAAUGUCAUGGGAAACAUCGUAAAAUCUGCAGUUCCAAGCGCCAAUUUCGGCAAACUAUGAACAGGAAUAGAUCCACAAGUUGUGUUUAAGCCACUAUUUGAAGAUGAAGUUUUUUGUGAUCUGUGGUUUUUACUCUGCCUUUGCGAGUCUGAGCAUUUGUUUUUCUCUUUUUCUCGAGACUUCAGUGAAAUUUGACCCACAAAAUCAGGUGCUUUCUUGAAACUUUUACCAUGCUGGAAUGAAGUAGAAGGACCGACUGCUGGAGUGGCUGACACACACUCACAGAAACUCUCAGGUAGGUGGUUUUUACUGUAGCAAUCAAAUGAUAGAUGUUUCAUUGAAUUGGUUCUAUAUCCCCCUGAUGGCAUGCUUGAAAACUCCUUAGGACGAUGACCAGGAACAAAAGAAGUUUUCUUAACAAAUCUUUGGUUUCCAUCAACAUCAACUGAUGCCCCUGACUGUAACCCUGCAUCCAUAAGACUGAGUAAAUGCAUGGCUGGUAUUGUUUCAUUCGAAUACAGAUCUAACGGCCCUGCCCCAUUAUGCUUGCAAGAAAAUGAGUAAUCUGUAUGUGUCCUUCUAAGCGCUUCAGAAUCAAACUUCCUACAAUGCUUCUCAUAGUUUGAAGCCAGAUUCAAGAAGUUCCGGUCAUCAUUUCGGCUCAUAUUUCCCUUAGGUAGACUGCUGGGGCAAUGUGAAAGCACAUCUAAACUUGCAACCUGAUCAGCACACUUUUGAGGGAUGCUGUGCACAUAGGACAUGCUACUCGGUAUCAUGGAUGACCAUAGGUGAGCUACUUCUUUAUUCUGCGGUGGAGCACUCUGGCAUGUGUUACAAACUCCCAAUGCCUGCACAUUAGCAUGAGAGGACCUUUGCCCAACCAUGUUCCUUACCUGCUGGCAAUUUUGAGCACUGUUUUGCCUGAUGGAAUUGGUGGCAGAAAAUUGGACCCCAUUCAAUGGCUUCUCUCCACAUAGAGGAAAAGGUCUAAAGCCUGCAGGGGGGUAACCUUGUUCCAACUGGCUCAUCUUGUACUGGUUUCGGUCUAUAUGAGAGAAAUAGUCCACUGACUUUUGCUUGCUGGAUCCCACAUUAUCGCCUCUUGCAAACUUGCCAAUUCUUUCGUUUUUAGCUUGAGCUUCCAGUUUAUCUGGGGUCUCUUGAAACAGGAUCAUCUCUUCAUUUUCAUAUACUUUAUUAAGAUCCACCCUCUGAUGAAUUUUGGUGUUACUGGUUUCUGGCAGCUGUUUAUCAAUUUCAGUAUCAGGAAGACACCGUUCAUACUGAUUCUUUGCCAUGAGUUCAGCAAUUUCCAUUAUGUCAUCUGCAGCUCCUUGCUCAGAAACCAUUUCAACACGUUGAUCAUAAUGCUCCCUGGCAACUGUUGCAUGGUCUGGAAACUCCAUAGUUCUCCCAUUGUUGCUUGUAACACUGAAAUCCUGCAAAAGAGAUAAGAUGGAAAGAAACCCUCUUCUCAAUUUCACAGAAACAACAUGAUGGAAAAACAGAUGCAUUAAUUAGCAGAACUUUUCCUCAUUACGUUGGAAAUGUUUGCCAUAAAGUUCACAUGAUUGCUUAAGUUAAUGCUACAUAUAUAUGCCAUCUUCAAAGUUAUCAACAAAAAUGCUAGUAUCUAAGCUUUCAUAUAUUAGAUAACAUGAGCUUAUAUCAGAACCAAUUAGUGUUUUAAAAAAUUCCAAGAGAUCUGUAUUUUGGAGUAAGGAUUAAGGAUGGAAGCAAAAGUUGUUUCAAAGCAAAAGAAAAAGAUGUGAACCAGUUUUCCCAAAAAAGAAAAAGAUGUACGUACCUUUUUGAAGUUUUAUAACUGGUUGAAGAAAAGGGAAAGUUUCUGGCUCAAAAAUAUAUAUAUAGUUGAUCUGAAAAUUCCAGAAACUUUAUUCUAAAUGCUAAUCAUAACUUGAAUAAUUCAUGUAUGCCAAAACUGAAUGUAAAAACAAACUUGGUUACAGAGGAAAAAUAAAUGUGGGGAAAGAUCACACAAAUGAUUCUGCAAAAAUAUCUUAUGAAUUUAUUUUCUUUUUCAUUAUAAAUGCCAGUUCACUACUUGAUCAACAGAAUAAAAGUUCAUACCAUUUGCAGCAUUGUGGAACAACUCCCAACUUCAUCAGGAGAUCUGUGCUUCUGCGUCUCAUUUAGGAACGGUAUUCCGUAUGUGAUUUGAUUACUGUUGAGAUCAACAUGCAUACCCUUCCAAAGGAAGGCAUCAACUUGAGAUUUAGUUGGAAAAGUACACUCUCCAACAUGGUUCAUGUUUAGAUCUUUCCUCCUAGUAUCAUAUUCACUAAGAACACACCCUUGGCAAGAUGAUAAAGAUUGUAGCCCAUCUCUUAUUGAAGUACUACAUUUUGCAUCAUAUCUUUUAGCAGGAAAGCAAUUACUAAGGGAAAAUUGCACUCCUUUUUCAGGUGAUGCAUCCUGGGUUAAUUCAAGAGGAACAGCUACAUUCCCAAUUUGUCUUAUUUCUACAUCUUCCCUUGAAGUCAGACCUUCUCUGAGAAUGCCAUUGUUCCAAGGAACUGGAGAAGCUUGCCGAUCAUGAUCUAGAUGCAUCUUGCUCUUUUUCUUCAACAAAUUAGACUUUUUUUCUGCCAUUGCGGCAGAUAGAGUUAAGGGAUUGAACCCACUGCCUGCAGAUACAUCAUUUGAUUUGUACAAAGCAAUAUCAGUGGCAUCACUCUUAGUGGCAUCUCCAGGCUUUUUCUGUCUUUCCUUCUGCAGAUUUUCUCGAGACAGAUGCAAGGAUGGACAUUGAUCAAUACUCUGGGUCUUUUUGUUUUUCUUCUUUCCUAGAAUAGGACUUCUAUCAACUUUAAAGUUAACCAAAUUGCUCUUUGCUGGAGUCUGUAAGCUGCUUCUGUUAAUUGUACCUUCUGAAUCAGAACUUGUGAUCCCAUCAGCAGUUUCUGCAUCUCUGUUGAAGGUCCUAAGGUUUUUAUGGCCAUUAUUUGGAGAGCUCAUCAAUUCCCCAGGCAUCCAUUCUUCAUCCUGUGGCAUCUUUCUUUUCCUUCUACGAGCCAAACUACUCAUAACAUUUCCAUGGAAAGUGACCGGACCUUGGGAAGCAGAUACUGAAUCUAUGUGUACGGACGCAUCAGGAUUGGUACUAGAAGGAGAAUCCUCUGUACUCGUGAGAUUAGUUUUUUCAUCUUUGUUUUUACCCAACAAUUCGGUCAGCAGACGCACCUUACGGUUUUUUCUUCGAUGCACGCUGCCAGAUGCAGUUCCAGGCAAUACCUCAUCACUAUCAGAUGAUGUGUAAUCACAAUCAUCUAAUUCCAAAGAAGAAUGUCCAUCUGUAUGAAUCUUGAAAGUAUCAGGAACCCUAUGAACUGUACUUGCUAUUCCAUGGGAUCCACAACCUGUUACCAACUCCAUCUGUUGAUCACAGGCAGAUUUUCCUGUUUGACGUAUUUCAGUGGCAUCCUUAACUGCAUGCUCCACAUUUGAUUCAGGAAGCUUGACACCAGCAACUUCAUUAUCUUCUAAAUUGGGAUUAUGAUGUUGCAGAGAAGCCACUGUUGCAGAAAUAAGAAACAGUGUUAUUGCAGCUACUGUUGUUCCAGUUUCAGUUGCAAUGCAGGAAAAUGCUUAAGUUUAUUUAUAUGGUCUUUUACUCAUGGUAGACAUACCUUUUUCAUCUAAACAAAGUGCUUGCUUCAUAAGGCUAGCAAUAACUUCUAUUCCAGCAUAUUUCGGAAUCUCCUUAUUAAUGUUAUUUUCUAAGAUAUCUGUUUGCCCUGGAAAAACAACCAAAACAAUUUAAGUUCUAAUUUAGUGGUAGCCACAUGAAGACUGAGCUAGGAUAGAUAUAUACCUAUGACCUGUACAUCUGUGUUUUCCACUCUCUUGUCACUUUUACCACUAACGAAAGGAUGACUGCUAUUAACAUUCAAACAAGCAAUAGCAUCACAUUUUCUUGAGUCAACAUUACUCUUUCCAGCCUGCAGCAAACCUGAUGAAGACACUACAGAAUCCCCAAGGGAUGACACAAGGGGACAAGAGCCAAAGGAUUUCAAUUUGCUACUAUCAUUAGUAACAUUUCUUUCUUCAUUUAUACUGCCUUCAGCCCCAAUGUCCCGCAGACAGUUCUGGCAACACCACCAUCUGAACUUUGGAACAAGUAAAGGAGGAAGCUUACAGUUCUGUUCUUUAAAUAUAUUCUGGCCACCAUCUAAUGAAAAUGGCCAACUUUUCUUCCAGUCUUUCCUGCGCAUCUCAGAUGCAUAUCCACUGCAUUUAAAUCAAAGGGAAUUUAUGAGGAAGACUUCCAACAUGACCAUUAAUGCACCACAUAUAGCAACUAGCAAGUUUGAAGGGAGUACUCAAAGAACUAUACAUCUGCAGAAGCCAUUUAUAGAUAUCAAAUCUUGCAAUAAAUUUCCCUCAAAUUAUAAAGGGAAUUUAUGAGUAAGACUUCCAACAUGACCAUUAAUGCACUGCAUAUAGCAACUAGCAAGUCUGAAAGUAGUGCUCAAAGAACUAUGUAUCAGCAGAAACCAUUUAUAGAUAUCAAAUCUUGCAAUAAGUUUACCUCAACUUAUAACUGUAAUCCCUUUAUUCGAUGCCAUUACAUAAAUUAGAUGUUUAGUAUACUUUCAUAUUUGUUGGAGAUAUGAUCUCAACAUUCCAUUCUAUCUCAAACAAUAUGUUGAUAAAGAAUAAAAUACCUCAGCUAAUGCACUAAUUUAUAACUAGAAUAUCCAAGACAUUUUGAUCCAAUCCCUAAAAUGUGGAGAAAAGUCAUCGUGCACACACACAAACAAGAAAGCUAUGAAGUUAGUGAGGAAGCAUGAACAACUGAAGGAAAGAAAUAAGUUAAUUAAUUCUAUCAAUAAUUCUCAUUUUGAUAGAUGAUUUCAAAAGCAUUUAUUAGGAUAUACCCUCACGUAUCAAUUGAUUCCACUAAGGAAAGAUACCUCUCUCACAUAGGUACACUCGCUGCAUAUAGCCCACACUCAAACUGCAGCUACCAUAAACCCAUUUUCAACAACAAUGGUAGUAUAUAGAGAGCUUGAGCAAGUUCAACAAGUAGACAAGAGCACUGAAUAUUAAGGAUCAUGGCUUACCGAAUAGAAAAAUGUUCACACUUCCUAGUAUCAAUGUCAUCAUUAGCAUUGAUAAGAUCUAUGGAUAUUGAGUCAAUCUUUAUGGGUGAUUCCAUGGACUUGGCGACAAGAUUAGAACUGCAACUGUGAUGAGUUUCCUUGACCACAGUAGUUGUCUCCAUGCUAUGAGUAACUAACGGAUAACACCAAUGUGCAACAAUUAGAUAUGCCAUGAGCAUUGAUAACAAUACAUAGUAACAGUGUAACUAUAUCCAUAAGCUGCCAUGAGCAUUGAUAACAAUACAUAGUAACAGUGUAACUAUAUCCAUAAGCUGCCAUGAGCAUUGAUAACAAGACAUAGUAACAGUGUAACUAUAUCCAUAAGCUGCCAUGAGCAUUGAUAACAAUACAUAGUAACAGUGUAACUAUAUCCAUAAGCUGUCAUGAGCAUUGAUAACAAUACAUGGUAACAGUGUGACCAUGUCCAUAAGCUAUGUAAUCAACAUGCAUGAAGCUCUAAGAUAUUAAGUAUAGCACAAGAACUUAAGCACGCACUUAAUGAUUCCUAGGAAUUCAAGAUGAAAUAACAGCAAUACAGUAAGACGGAUACAAUAGAAAAGAUGAGAAGCUGGAAAGCCCCUAUAUAUGGUGAUUUAUUACAUAAAAUAAUAACUUAUAGCAGUAGAGGACUGAAUACUAUUCAAAGGGAACAAAAUUGGAAACCCUAGUUCCCAUGAAACCAAACAUAAAUAUGAUUGCAGUUACAGCAUUAAUGUUUCAAUAACAUCCUAAUAGAUUAUAUAGCAAAACCCAUCCAUUUAGAAUACAAAGUAAAUCAUCAAAUUACACCAAUAAGGUAAAAAAACAUGUUAGGGUUUUAUCAGAUAAUACGAACUAAAGUUUUCGAUGAGAAUAAUAGUCUUGUUAUCAAUGCAAAAAUAAUAAGCUUUAAAACUCACCUCCAAGCCUUCGAGUUUGAUGUUACAAUAAUCCAUAAAAUGAAAAAUUUUAUCUAGGGUUUCAUAACUAUCAAAAUUCACAAGCUAGUGAACAGUGAACAUCAUUUCCACGACCACAAAACCGAUAAAAGAGUACAUAAAAUAUCCAUUAAAAAGGUGAAUAUAUUAACUCAUAAAGCAAACCCAGAUGCCAAAACGUCAAUAAAAGUCUAAACUUAACGUACUAAACACAGUAAACUAACCCAAGAUAACUGAAAUAAACAAAAAGCUCCAGCUCAGCUUAAACUCGUAUUAAUCAAAAGGAAACAAAUCAAUAACAAAACAAACCCAGAGCUUUAAAUUGUAAUUAGAUCAGAAAAAAAUACCUUUAUUUGAGUUAUUACCUCUUAAGACAAUCUAAAACCAACCCAGCUUCGAUUCUUCACGGCCAGUCGAGAAAAUGGUAUCAAAAGGAAGAACAUUGAUCGACCUAGUAGAAGAUUGAGUCUUUCUGAAGAGAUCUGAAGCUCGUCGUGUAUAAUUUGAGUGCGACGUUUGGAGAAACCCUAGCUUCAACAAAGGAGAGGUUUUUCGAUUCUUUUAGAGAGAGAGAGAAAGAAGAGUAGACAAGAAAAGAGUUUUUAUCUUUUGUCCUUGAAAGGAGGGUCUUUUGUUGUUGUUGUAUUAAAAAUCAUCUGUAAAAAAAAUAUUUCUAUAUAAUUUAUUUUAUUUUAUUUUAUUUAGAAAGUAUAAGAGAGAAAACCAAUGCUAGGAAAAAGAACCAAUGGAUUUGGCCCACGUGGAAGUGAGGUUCGGUUCUUAUCACAAUUCCAUUAUGGGUGUUGCCCUAGAUUGGAAUAAUGAAAAAAGCGCACUAUUAGAACGCGUUGGUACACGCUCCUGUUCCCAAAGCAUUAAAUAUUAGUAGAUUUUCAUAGAACAUCCCUGUACUAUGCAUUUUUUUUAGAUUUAGUCUCUCUAUUAUAAUUUAAUUAUUUCUAAUAUCUCUACUUUUCAAAAUGAAUAUUUUUUUUAAUUUUGAAUCAAAUUAAUUAUAUAUAAAAAAUAAUUUUAUGUAAAUUUAAUUAUAAAGUAUACAAAUUAUUAAAAUAAAAUAUAUUUUAAGUAAUGAUACAAACUCUAAAUCAAUUUAUAUUAAAUGUAAUAUAAAUUUUAAAUAUAAUUAUAUUUAGAUAACUAUAAUAUAAUUUUGUUAAUAUAAUUAUUUUAAAUUUAACUUGAAUCAAUUUAGAAUUUGUAUCAUUAUUUAUAAAUUAGAAUAAAUAUCAAAAUUAUACAUGAAUUUUGAUUCAAUGUGCAAUGUCAUAUAUAAACUUUAGUUUUGUGCAAUUUUAUACAUGAAAUUUUAAUUUGAUUCAAUUUUCCCGAAUCACUAACAACAUUAUUGAAUUAGCACAAUUUUACGUUGAUAUAUUGUUAACAAAAAUAAUUAUAUUAACCGAAUAGGAAAAUAAAUAUAUGUAUUCAUUUCUUUAAAUGUGUACAAUUGAAUCAAAAUCAAAGUUUCAUGUAUGCAUAUGUACCACAAUUCAAAUUCCAUGUGUAUAAUUGCACCAAAUUGAAAUUCAUAUAUUGAAUUGCACAUUGGACAAAAAUUCAUGUAUAAAUUUGAUAUUUAUCCCCUAAAAUUUAUUAUAUACUAAUAUUUAAUAUACUUCAUAAUUAAAUUUACAUAAAAAUAUUUUUAUAUAUAUAAUUAGUUUGAUUUAAAAUAAAAAAAUCUUGAUCAAAUUUGAUUUAAUAUGGACAGACUAAAUAGCUCGAGAGACCUUAUUACGAUUUAUGGAGUAAAUAACAUAAUUUUUUAUAUUUUUAAUUUUAUUAAAUAUUUAAAUUUAUUUUUUAAAAAAAUUAAUUUCAAAGAGUUUUUAAUUUUUCAAAAAAAAUUAUACUUCUAUUGAAAAUAUGAAAAAAAAAUAAUUUUUAAAACAUUUUUGUAAUUGUUUAUGUGGUUUUAAGAGUAAAGACCAAUUUGACAAAAAAUUGUAAAUGUUAAGGAUAAAAAAGUUGUUUUGCCUUCUUUCAACAAUUCUAAUAGUAAAAUUGAUGAAAGGACCAAGAUUUAUAAAUAAAUAAAAAAGAAUGGGGACUCAAAGUCUAAAUGUUAAAUUUUAGAAGAGUACAAGACUUUUGACAUAUUUAAAUCUACUCUAAAUUAUUAAUUAUAGUUGAAAGACUAAAUACGUAAAAAAUGCAUGGUGCAAGGACUUUAUUUAGAAAUUGACCUAAAAAACCUUUUAAAGAUGCCUUCCCACGUAAACACCCUUUCAUUGGAGCGUGUGAUGGAAUACCCAUCAAAGAGCGUGGAGUUAGUUUGAGAUGAAAACCCUAAGGAUUAAUUUCUUUCUUUUUCUUUUUUUAAUUUCCGUGAUGUAAAUGUAAUGGGUGAGUGUUUAACCCUAGCUAGCCCAUUUUCACAUUAAAAAUGCCUAACCCCCGAACCUUUGGCUGGCCUACAAAACUAGUUACUAAAUUUAUGGCAUUUAGGGUGUGGAUCACAUGCAUUUGGGUUCGGGACAUUUACAUUUCAAUCUUCAUGACAUGUUCGUCUUUUGAUACAUUAAUAGUGAAAUAUAUAGAAAAAUUAUAUACUGUUGAUUUAUUUAUAAAAUUUGAAGUUUUUAAUAAAGGAGAAUGAUGAUCAUAUGAUAUACGAUUUUUGUCAUUUGUAAAUUAUUUCUCGUAAAAAAAAGGCAUCUUUUACUUUUAUUCCACCCAUAAAAUCACCCCACCUUUCACCUAAAUUGUACCAUACUUUGAUGCUUUAAACUUACAAUCUCCUCACCAUAAAUUCUUUCAUUAUCCAAAUGUAUAAGUUGAUAAUGUUCCAAAACCAAAGUGAUAGAUUCUUUACUUGAAGAAUAGGGAAAAACUUGAAUAAAGUCAUAAAAAUAUAAAGAAAUUAGGGGAGAGAAGUUCAUCCCCUAUUGGGUAGGUUGGGGUUAAACGUAGUAAAUAGGAGAGGGAAAAAAACACCCCUAUCGAAAAUAAGUGAAAUAUAUGCUCACUUUUGUUAAUUAUGACGUGUUGAAUGAGAAAAAUAAAAAAGGUUGACAUCUUUACUUAUAGAUUAAGUAUACUAAAUCAAUUUGGUUGUUGAUCUUUUUCCAAAUUAAAAGAAAUCAUUGAAUCCAUUUGGAAAGAGUGUCCAAAAACAUGCAUGAUAUAGUAUAUAUUUACACGUAUGUAAAUAUCUUUUCCCAUAUAUGUUCAUAGCUGAUUUAACUUUUUUUUUAUUUCUCUCGAUGUUUACUGGUCGUAAGAGUUAAUCUGAGUCAGAUUUUAUUUCGAGAUAAAUUCUUUUAAUAUUGUUUAUUUAUCUACAAAUUUUAAAUUUAAAAUAUUACUUGAGAAAUAUUCAACUACUUACUACAUAUACUAAUUGGUUUAUCGGAUGCACAUGAAUUGGCCAUUUUCAUCUAGUUCUCAUGUUUUUGUUGGUUUAUAUUUAAACAACAGUGAGAUGAAUAAGAUAUUUAGAGUUUUUAGUUUAGUUGGUUUCGAAGGCGUGGUGGCACUGCUAGCUAGCACAUGUUCCCAACUAGAAUGUGUAACACUUAUUUAAAAGAAACCAUGCAUAUGAUAUGGAUCGACAAAAUCAUAUCAACCAUAUGUUCCUUCCUACAUCACAUUAAAAACACAAACUCACUUUCAGGUCAAAGAAAAAAAUCAAGGCCGGCAUCAAUUGUUUUCCAAUAUUGAUGAUGAAUGCUCUCUCCCAAUGGGUUUUACAACUUUAUAUUGUUUUAGAUUCAGAAUCUUAAAAUCUAAAAUCCCUUCUCUUAUUUUUUAUUUAUUUAUAUUUAGUGCAGAAAUAGUGUUAGAUUGAAAGUGGGUGGCUAAGAUGGAUCCAGUACACACUACACAGUAUCCUCUCUCUUUAUAUACAGGGCCGGAGUUUCUCAGUCUGAACUCAGGGGUCAGUGAACCCAUUGAUAUUUGUGUUGAAUUUGAGAAGGAAAAAAAUUGUCAUAGAUAUUGAGGAUUUGUUGGGUCUAAUGACUGAAAGAUACAUCACUCUUCUUGUGGAGAGGGCCCUCCUUUAUAAUGUUUCUGCCAUCAUAGGUAUAUAGACCCAACACCAAUAAACAAUUAUAUAGUAAAAAGGAAUUUCAUUAUUAUUAUUAUUAUUUCUUUUGAUGACCUAAGUUCCCAAAAUCGUAGCUACCGCUUCCUGAAAAUAUCUGAAAUGGCUUCCAUUAUUAUUUGCAGUUCUCAUACAAAAAACUAAGUUUGACUUUGAAUAUGUAUAAAGAUAUUGUGGUUAAUUAUCUGAUGUAUUAUAUUUGGUGGAUCUGAUAGUUUGUGUCAUGCGACACAAGAUUGCAAGAAAGAAAAUCCGAAAACUCCUUAAGACGGCAGUCGCCCAAUCGCUUGGACAAUGAGAAGCCACCUAAUCUGCCGGAUUACGGUUAGGGUACUAAAUUAUGACUCGAAAAUCUCACCUCAGGUUUUGGGUAAGUAAGAAAGCAUAAACUUUAAAACAAAAAUCUUGUCGAAAAAGCUGUAAAUCUCACAAAAUCCUGGUUAUAAUUUUCAUGGAUAUCUCUUUGUUCUCGAUUUAUCUCAAUUUAAAGGAACAUAUAUAUAUAUAUAUAUAGGGACUCAUUUUUCUGUAUAUAUAAUCUGGGUAAGAUGUCAGCUCAUCAGCAAAAAGGUUAGUUGAUUAUAUAAAGGGAAAGAUAUUAUCAAUGAUGAGUUUAUUUUAUGCUGGAAAAAUGGUAAUUGAUUUUAUUUUGAAACGCUUUGGGACAAAACCCAGAACUUUUUCUGUGCUAAAAAAGGUUUGUUUUUUCUAAAAUAGCAUAAACAUUUUUUUUAAGAAAAAAGAAAAAAAACCAGUUCAAGGCUGAAUUAAAAGAGAAAAGACAAGUGUAUGGUAUAUAUACACACGUCACUAUGUAGUGUAUAUAUAUGUAUAUACAUAUCUACUCAUUUUCCUACCAGAUCUCUUAUAUAUACAUAUACAUCUGCGCUAAGUUCUGAUUAAGCUACAAAACUCAGUUUUAUAGCUUUCUGCCAAUUCCGGUGAAUUUGUCUUCUUUGAUGCAUGCAUGCGUCCGUAUCUUUGCUUUUGUAAAUAAUAAUAAUAAUCUUGCGAGGUCUUUUAUUUCUUUAAAAAAUUUUGAUUAUUUAAUAUUGUAUUUGAAUAUAUUUGUUUUUAAUAAAUAAAUAAAAAUCAAACUAAGACUUUAUUCUUCAGAAUAUUCAGUAGUCAUGAUUUAAGAUUAUAGGACAUUUGAUUUAAGUGUUAGUGUCGGAUCUUUAAUUGUAAGAUUUUUAUUAGAGAGAGUUGGUUAGGUGCAUAACAUGAUUGUGGGUUUGUGAUUUUUUCUAUUUUUAUUUUUAUUUUGUAAACCAAAUAUUUAUAACUAUGGACCAAAUCCAAAUUGCAUGAGUUUAUUUUUGUCAUUAAAUCCUAUCCAUGAAUUAAUGCCUUGUGGACAUUAAAUUGUUUGGAAAGACAAAUGUAUUUAGGGCCAUCCAGUUUUGUAGUUUUUUUGUGAAAGGGACGGCAAGCUAUACAUGAAAGAGGAAUGAUGGCACUGAAUGAAUGUCUGUUUUAUUGGUAAAACUUUAAUGUCUUUUAAUUAAGGUAUUAAAUUUUAAUCUGAAGAAAAUAAUGUUAAAGGUUUAAUUUAAUUCGGUUUUAAAUUUUAUUAUAAAGAAUAAUUUCAUCCAUACCACUGUUUGGUACAGAGAAAAUGGAAAGUUGAUGAAUUAAGGUCCGUAAUUUUUAAUUUUCUUCCUAAUCUUUAAUUUUAUUCUCAAAUAAUCUCUAAACUUUGUUUUAGUAUUUUUCUUUUUAAUCUGAAAUAAGCUUUGGAUUAAUAUUUUUGUUUAAAAACUUAUUUAGUAAUACGAAUUAAAAAAUAAUAUUUUAUCUGGACAUUAUUUGAGUAGUGGUUGAAAAUAAUUAAAUCAAUUGAAAAUUAAUAUUUUUAGUGAUUUAAUUUUUUUUAUAAAUUUGAUAAUUCAUAAUGAAAAACCACUAUAUAAUUUUUCUAUAAAAAUAUUGAAAAUUUUUCAAUUAAUUUUGUUUUAUUAUUUUAACAUUAUAUUAUCUUCAUAUAUUUUACAUUUCAAAAUGUUUAAAAAAUAAGAAUGAAUAUGUAAAAUAAAAGAAAAUUAUACUUUAAAUUUAUAUUUAUCAAACAAUUUAAUUUUAUAUUUAAUUUCAAAUAAUAUAUAAAAAUUAUAAUUUAACUUCAAUAGUUAUUUUUUUAAAUUUAUCAAAUUACACCUAAUUAGAAUUAGAAUCCCCUUAAAAAUAUAAAAGCUCAAAAUUAACUUAAAUGAAAUAAUUUAAAGAUUACUUCAAAUACUAAUACUUUUAGCCUAUUAAAAUGUUUUUUAUUUUAUUUUCUUUUCAAUUCUUUUUAUUAUUAUAACAUUAUAAACUUAGGUCACAAGUUUGGUUGGAUUUAGAAUGUCAUACUGAUUGCUACUGUAGCUGUCUGAACUAAUCAUUCAAUUAUUACACAUUAAAACAUAAAAUUUAAAUAUACAAACAAGUAAUCAUUUAGCAAUAUCAUGCUUAUAAAAACAAUUAGCACAACUCAACCGAAUAACCAAACAAUUAAUCAAUAUGAAAGUGACCAACUAAUCAUAUAGACCAAAAUACAUGUUAAGGCUAAAUUAAGUGAAAAUUGUCUUUACAAAAUAAAGAUUAUGGAGAUUCUUUAGCGAUGUUACUUAUUUAUGAACUCUUCAAUCCACACAAAAAAUUAAAAACCUGAACGCUAAAUUUUUUAAAGAUGAGUGGUCAUCUCCAUAUUCUAACUUUACUAAUUAAAUAUUAAAGUUAUUUAAACGCAUUUUAACAUGUAACCAAAGUCUUUAAUACAUUUCCAUAACAAUAUAAAAAGGCUUUAUUCAUAAUUUGACAUUAGAAUUAUACCUAUUUUCCCACUUUGGUACCUAAAUUAUUUUGUCCCAUUUGGUACCUAAACUUUGCUUAGUUACAAUUGUUUCGGUAGCUAAAAGCUAAUAACGUUAAAAAUAAAAAAGGAGUUAACUAAUGAGAAAGUGUCACGUCAUCAAUGACAUGGCAUAUUGACCAACGACAUGGUAUGUUAAUGAUCAUUGAUGGGAAUUGAACGGGUGUUGACCCACAUUGACCAACUGCUGAUCGGCAUUGAUUGGUCAAAAAAUCAUUAAAAGUUAUCUAAAAAAUUGUAAAAAUUAUUGAAAAUUGUAAAAAUUAAAAAAAAUGUAAAAAAAAGUAUUAAAAAUAAUUGUCUUUUACUUCGGUUUAUGGAAAAUUUUCUGGACAUUCUGAAAUAGAAAAUGAAGAUAGAAUAGCAACUUAGGGAUGUAAAAGGUGCUUGUGAAGAUUGUGGGGUUUCUUUUUUGCAGUACAACCAUUGCCUGUCAUAACAAGAACUUCCAACGUUUCUUUUUUUUUUCUUUUUCUUUUGUGCAAAUGAAAAUGCUUGUAUUUGAAAAUAAAAAUAUUAAUAAAGGUUUGCUUUCUCUUUCACGUGGACUUGUGGCAUAUUUCUGAUUUCACUCUCACCAUUUAGCCCUGUUGUUACUUUUUGUGUUGCAUUUGUCUUCUUUAACCUCAAAGAAGGAUAAUAUUCCUUACGAAAAUUCAAUGCUUAUCAAUACCAAUAUCCUUGCAGACUCGCUAGGUAUCCUCCUGCUGCUUAGAUAUGUAAAAUUGCUUGAAAUAGGACUGAAAACUUGGAUUGCUGGUAAUGUUUUUGUCUUUCUCUUUGUCUUGCAUACAUAUUUGUUACAUCAAAGUAAUCUGAUGGAGAAAUGGGCCUCGCUAUGGGGGUACGUAUGCAUUGCUGAAAGGGAAAUUUGUUGGUUUCAUUGCGUUUUUCUAUAGUUAAUUUCUGCUGUAAUAUUUAACUUUCAAAAAGGUGAAAUUUAGAAGAUAAGAAUUAAGUGAAGGUUACAGAUAUAGAACUUCUCAAAAGUAAAUAUAUAUAUAUAUAUAUAUAUAUAUGAUUUUUACAACUUGUUUAAUAUUUUAAAUAAUUUUUUACAAUUUUUAAAUAAAUUUUACAAGUUCUUUUUGGGCAUUUUACCAAAAAAAGCCUUUUAUUUAAUUAUUGAAAUGGACCCAGUAUUUUAUUAUUUACAGGAAUGGGUCAUUUUCCGACAAAUCGCGUCCACGUCAGCGCGAUGUCAGGGGACGUGCCAGGAAAUCGCGGCCACGUCAGCAAAGCGCCCUGAUGUGGCCGCGACUUGCCCCGAGCGUGAACAGUGCAACGGUCAAAUUUUUGACCGUUGCCCCCCCUACGGUAAAAAAAAAAACUAUAAAUACCCCCACCUUUUUUUUUCACAAACUAAUCCUCUCUCAAAUUUCCUCUCAAUUUCUAGGACCUACUGUAGCAAAAGCGCGUCCACGAGGGUGCGAUUUCACAAAUUCUUCUCAAAUAGCAUCCUGCUAGAAGCGAUUUUAUACUAUUUCCUCAAAAACGUCAACUCGAAAUUAUUUCUUCCAAGACCUACUGUAGCAAAAGCGCGUCCACGAGGCCGCGAUUUCACAAAUUCUUAUCAAACAGCAUCCUGCUAGAAGCGAUUUUAUACUAUUUGCUCAGAAACGUCAACUUGAAAUUAUUUUUUCAGGACCUACUGUAGCAAAAGCACAUAAACGUGGGCGCGAUUUAUUUGUUUACUUUUUUUAUACAAAACCCUAAAAACCCUAAACCCUAAAAUCCAAAAACCUGACGUGGGAAAAGGGGCAAAUCGUGUCCCCGUAACGCGCUACGUCAAGAAAUCGCGGCCACGUCAGCGCGCUUUACUGACGUGGCAACAAAUCGCCCCCUCGUGCACGCGAUUUGUUGCCAUGCAGGUCAGCAAAGCGCGCUGACGUGGACGCGAUUUUCUGGCACGUCCCCUGACAUCGCGCUGACAUAGACGCGAUUUUUCGAAAAAUGGCCCAUUCCGGUAAAUAAUAAAAUAUCGGGUCCAUUUCGGUAAAUUUAUAAAAAAAUUAAACUUUUAUUGGUAAAUUGGCCAUUCUUUUUCACAUUUAAAAUAAGUUUUACCAUUUUUAAAUAAAUUUCAAUGAUUUUUUAAUUGGUCAACAGCUGACCAAUGCCAGUCAACGUUUGGUCAACUUGGUCAAUCUGGCACGUCAUCAGUCAACAUUUCACGUCAUUAGUCAACAUGCCUAUUCAUCAAUCAAUGUGCCUAGUCAUUGAUGACAUGGCACUUCUCAUUAACUAGUUUUUUUUUUAGCGACAUUAGCUUUUAAAUACCAAAGCAAGUGACAGAAUAAAGUUUAUGUUCCAAAAUGGGGUAAAAAAAAGUCUUAAGUAAGUGGGAAGACGAGUAUGGUUCAAGGGUCAAAUUGUGGAUGAAGUCAUAUUAAAUAACAAUUGAACGAUUUUCCACAAUACAUAAAUAUAAUUUGCAUUUUUCAUAGCAAAUAACAAUUUGUCAAUUUCCAUAAGUGAUACAUAAAAAAUCUCAUUUUAAAAGGGUAAACUACGGUAGAGAUCACCCAACUAUGUGUUUUUUUUUUGGCCCAACUAUAAAAAGUUAUAAAAUGGUCACUCAACAAUUUAAUUUUUUUCACUAGUUGGUCAACGUAAAAAUGAAAACACCUAGAAAGCCAAGAUAGUUGGGUGGCAAAAAAGACAAUUGAAUAGUUGAGUGACUAUUUUGUAACUUUUCAUAGUUGAGUGACCAAAAAAGAAAAUUACUAAUAGUUGUAUGACCAUUUUGUAACGUUUCAUAGUUGGGUGACCAAAAAAGAAAAGAAAAAACCAUAGUUAGGUGACUACUAAUGUAGUUUACCCAUUUUAAAAUUUGCCCAAGUAAUCACAUGCAAAAAAUACAUUUAGACAAACAAGGAUCCAACUGAACACUAAACAAUCAAUGAAGAAGGCGCAAGACACUUCAUAUAACAAUAACAAUACUUUGGUACGCAAUUUAAUCAAUAACCAACUGAAUACCAAUGUGUAAAAUGCAACAAUAGCAAUACUUUGGUACGCAAUUUAAUCAAUAACCAACUGAAUACCAAUGUGUAAAACGCAACAAUAGCAAUACUCCCAAACACACAAGACAAUUCGUACAAUACAAUAAGCAAUAUGGAGUCUCUUAUACUCUGAAGCAUGUUGACUAUAUCCAAAAGUUUUCUAAAACAUUUUCCUCGGCAUUAGGAAUCAUUUAAAAGAAACUUUAUAAGCACAUAUAAAAUCUUUCCAUCAAUAUUUAACACAUAUAUAAGCGUUCAUUGGUGAGAAACGUUCAAUCAUUGACAUCAUUCGCUUUGGAUUAUUCACAUACCCUUUCACUUCAAAGUAGAAAACGUACAAACACUUAUUAAAAAUAAAUCUAGUGGCAAUUGGUCUAAUUGCAUAUGCAUCCCGACAACUGAAAAUGCAUGAACGUAAUUUUCCGACGCACUAUUUAAAGCUUGUUGUUAUGGCAUUUGCUCUAAAGAUCUAAAGGCAUUACUUGUAUGGUGAAAAGUGUCAUAUUUACUCAGAUCAUAAAAGUCUCAAAUAUCUCCUCUUCCAAAAGGAGUUGGACCUGAGACAGCACUAUUGAAUCGAAUUGCUAAAAUAUUAUGAUUGUGUGAUUGGUUACCAUCAGGGCAAAGCUAUUGUUGUUACUGAUGCUUUGACCCAUAAGUCGGCAAUUGAAUUGAGAGCAAUGUUUGCUCAGCGUAGCAUUUGUGAUGAGUAGCCUUUUGGCUGAGUUGAAAGUUAAACCCGUAUUGCUUGAUCAAAUUAGAGAAACGUAGUCUAUUGAUGCUAAGCUAGUGGAGAAAAUGAAGCUUGUUCAACAAGUGAAUAUCGAGAGUUCCAACAUUGAUACGAAUGAUUGCCUUUGGUUUCGCAAUCAAAUCUGUAUCCUUAAUAAUGCUGAUCUGAAAAUUAUGAUUUUACGAGGAACUCACGAUAGUCCUUUUGCUAUGCUUUCCGGUAUUGUGAAAAUGUAUUGUGAUUUGCGAGAAUCAUACUAGUGGCCUGGAAUGAAAAGAGAGAUUGUUGAUUAUUUCGCUAAAUGCCUGACUUGUCAACACGUAAAAGCCAAACAUCAAGUUCCCGUCAGGUUGCUUUAACCUAUUUUUAUUCUAGAAUAGAAGUAGGAAGGAUUGUUAUGGAUUUAUAGUUGGUUUACCGUUAUCUCUAAGUAAAAGGAAUUUGAUUUGGGCAAUAGUGAAUCGACUAACAAAAUAUGCUUAUUUUCUUACUGUGAGAAUUGAUUGGUCACUUCCAAAGUUAGCUAAAGUCUAUAUUCACGAGAUAGUCAGAUUGCACAAUGUGCCUGUAUCUAUUAUCUCCAACCAAGACCUUCAUUUUACCUCGAAAUUCUGGAAACAAUUGCAUGAAUCAUUAGGAUAAUAUGUUCGUGAGAUAGUCAGAUUGCACGAUUAACCUUUUUUUUUUUACUGAUUUGAGAAGUUUUAAGUUAGGAUGUUAUAUAUACACAGAUUGCAUUGUUAAAGGAAAAGGUAGGUUAGAAUAUAUUGAAAGGGAAAAUCAAGAAUUUUGAAUAUAGAUCAUUAAAAGAACAUGAAAAAAUAUAUAAAAAGAUAAAUAAUUAUUUCUUUAUUAAACUAAAUUAGACUUUAUCACGAGUCAGGUCAAGCCGAUAUAAAGUUUUAGCCUCGAUUUGAAAAACGAGCCUAAAAUUUUGCCCAAAUACGGCCUAGAUAAAAAAUACUAAACUCAAGCCCAGUUCAUCCCGAACUAAAUUUUUUUAUAUAAAAAUAAAUUUUAAAAAUAUAAUACAUUAAAUACAAUAAAAACAUUAAAAUAAAUAUUUCCCAACAAAUUAAAAAUAUAUUUUAAAAAGUCUUUAUAUUUAAAUAACACUACAAUAGUUGCAACUUAAAAAAUAAAUGUCUUAGUAGCAAAAUUAAUAAUAAAACAAGAGUUAUACAAUAUCCAUACAAUAACAACAAAAUAGUAACAAUAUAAUAACAAAAUUACAGCAAAACAACAGUAACCAACAACAAACAACAGCAAGGACAAAAGAUUUUAGACAAAUUCGGGGAAACCCGGGCUAAAAGGAUAUUACCCAAAGCCUGGCCCAUUUAAAAAGCAAACUUCAUUUUUUGAUCAAGCCCAUUUUUCACACCUAUAUAUAUUGAGAUUGGACGGGUUUACCGAUCCAUGAUCAAAUCUAAAUUGAGUGAUUUGAUCUGAUCUGAUUUAUAUAUAUAUAUAUAUAUAUAUAUAUAUAUAUAUAUAUAUAUAUAUACAUAUACAUAAAUUUCGUAUUGAUAUGAACCACCAACACUCGCUUCAAAUCAGAAUAACAUAGCUUCUCAUGCAAAUUAGAUAAUAAUCAUCUCAGGAUUUAGCCUCUCAUAAUAAGAGGAAUCAUGUUGGCCACAAAAGAUAGUUUAGUAAUCAACAAGGGAAAGAACAACAUACACUAUAAAACAGCAAAACGACUUGGGAUGGUAUAUAUGUAUAUCCUAUAGGCUUCAUACGAUACCAUCCAUGUUUAUCUCUUUUUCUCAAACCUUAAGAGCUGUAAAUUACAACUGAAUAAUAACUAACAAUACAGGUAUAGAGUAUACCUAUAAGGCUCUUUUAUUGACUAAUUGCCUGUUCUGUUUCCACUCCCAAUAACUGGCUCAAGAAUGGAGCAUAAACCAACUUAAGUGACAAACAAGCACUUUGAAGUACAAAUUAAGGGCAGUAAUUAGGUUUUACAAACAUUUGUUCAGGACAACACCAGCAUACAACAUUGAAUAAUUUCAGUUGGUAAAGUAAUGUAAGGGUGAGUGUGCAUGGGUCGAGGCAAAUGCAAAUAUUUACAGGCCUUACCGUGCACCUACCUUUUUCAUUUUUCAAGGCUUGAAAUGGAAAAUGCCAGUGCAAGUACAAGAACAAAAAAUUCAACUUGUGUAGUAAAUAUGACCGGUUUGAAGCCAGACACUUGAUAAAGCUUUUAAGCCUGUUUUUUUUUUUUUUGGGGGGGGGGUUAGGGGGGUGGUUCUGGGCAUCAAAGAAGGUGCUUCGGGUUUUGCCUGCAGAAAAUUAGACAAGUCAAUUUCUGAUUGAAGAACUCAGGUAGCGGAAGUGGCAAGAGAAGAGAUCAGUUUGAAACCAGAAUGAAGAUGAA
This 20086-nucleotide long non-coding RNA is filed under the name Gossypium raimondii (Peruvian cotton). RNAcentral's name for it is "long non-coding RNA (GRAI_LNC000022)". The stretch from base 15778 to 15868 matches the Rfam family "MIR7486 microRNA precursor family". Lineage: Eukaryota; Viridiplantae; Streptophyta; Magnoliopsida; Malvales; Malvaceae. The record is from RNAcentral.